CCUACGGGAGGCAGCAGUGGGGAAUUUUGGACAAUGGGCGCAAGCCUGAUCCAGCCAUGCCGCGUGCAGGAUGAAGGCCUUCGGGUUGUAAACUGCUUUUGUACGGAACGAAAAGACUCUGGUUAAUACCUGGGGUUCAUGACGGUACCGUAAGAAUAAGCACCGGCUAACUACGUGCCAGCAGCCGCGGUAAUACGUAGGGUGCGAGCGUUAAUCGGAAUUACUGGGCGUAAAGCGUGCGCAGGCGGUUAUAUAAGACAGAUGUGAAAUCCCCGGGCUCAACCUGGGAACUGCAUUUGUGACUGUAUAGCUAGAGUACGGUAGAGGGGGAUGGAAUUCCGCGUGUAGCAGUGAAAUGCGUAGAUAUGCGGAGGAACACCGAUGGCGAAGGCAAUCCCCUGGACCUGUACUGACGCUCAUGCACGAAAGCGUGGGGAGCAAACAGGAUUAGAUACCCUGGUAGUCCACGCCCUAAACGAUGUCAACUGGUUGUUGGGUCUUCACUGACUCAGUAACGAAGCUAACGCGUGAAGUUGACCGCCUGGGGNGUAGCGCGAGUAGAGUUANAANGAGUUGNGNGNGAGAGNGCGAGCGACGACGAGGAGAGG
This 608-nucleotide ribosomal RNA is filed under the name uncultured bacterium. RNAcentral's name for it is "bacterial SSU rRNA". The stretch from base 1 to 542 matches the Rfam family "Bacterial small subunit ribosomal RNA", at positions 338 to 873 of the family's 1533-position model. The record is from RNAcentral.